Molecule: ribosomal RNA, 46 nt
Filed under: Trichoderma harzianum
Lineage: Eukaryota; Fungi; Ascomycota; Sordariomycetes; Hypocreales; Hypocreaceae
Also listed under: 3 other names
Description: partial 28S ribosomal RNA
Source: RNAcentral
GACCUCGGAUCAGGUAGGAAUACCCGCUGAACUUAAGCAUAUCAAU